UACAGAGGUCUCAAGCGUUGUUCGGAUUCAUUGGGCGUAAAGGGUGCGUAGGUGGCGCGGUAAGUCGGGUGUGAAAUCUCGGAGCUUAACUCCGAAAUUGCAUUCGAUACUGCCGUGCUCGAGGACUGGAGAGGAGACUGGAAUUCAUGGUGUAGCAGUGAAAUGCGUAGAGAUCAUGAGGAAGACCAGUGGCGAAGGCGGGUCUCUGGGCAACUCCUGACACUGAUGCACGAAAGCUAGGGGAGCAAACAGG
RNAcentral lists this ribosomal RNA (253 nucleotides) under uncultured bacterium. RNAcentral describes it as "partial 16S ribosomal RNA". It matches the Rfam family "Bacterial small subunit ribosomal RNA", at positions 524 to 776 of the family's 1533-position model. The record is from RNAcentral.